RNAcentral lists this ribosomal RNA (520 nucleotides) under uncultured Entrophospora. RNAcentral's name for it is "SSU rRNA". It matches the Rfam family "Eukaryotic small subunit ribosomal RNA", at positions 569 to 1085 of the family's 1831-position model. Lineage: Eukaryota; Fungi; Glomeromycota; Glomeromycetes; Entrophosporales; Entrophosporaceae. The record is from RNAcentral.
AGCAGCCGCGGUAAUUCCAGCUCCAAUAGCGUAUAUUAAAGUUGUUGCAGUUAAAAAGCUCGUAGUUGAAUUUCGGGAUUGACGUGAUGGUCAUGCCUUAAGGGGUAUGAACUGUUACAGUUGAUUUCUCACCUUCUGGAGAAACUUGAUGUCCUUUAUUGGGUGUCUUGCGGAUCCAGGACCUUUACCUUGAAAAAUUAGAGUGUUUAAAGCAGGCAUUUUUGCUCGAAUACAUUAGCAUGGAAUAAUAGAAUAGGACGGCAUGGUUCUAUUUUGUUGGUUUCUAGGAUCACCGUAAUGAUUAAUAGGGAUAGUUGGGGGCAUUAGUAUUCAAUUGUCAGAGGUGAAAUUCUUGGAUUUAUUGAAGACUAACUACUGCGAAAGCAUUUGCCAAGGAUGUUUUCAUUAAUCAAGAACGAAAGUUAGGGGAUCGAAGACGAUCAGAUACCGUCGUAGUCUUAACCAUAAACUAUGCCGACUAGGAAUCAGACGAUGUUAAUUUUUAAUGACUCGUUUGGCU